AAUUUUAAAGCUCUUGAGAAGACUAAGCUUUUAGUUGGUGACAAGAAAAAGUCACAGUACUCAAGAUGUGGCAGAACAGACAAAGGAGUUUCAUCUUUUGGACAAGUCAUUUCCCUGUUUCUACGAUCAAACCUGCGACCUAAGAACACAGAUGAUGCAAACAAUUGGGGACUUUCUAUAGAUAGAGAUGGUUUAGCUGUAUGAGCAGGGAGUACAAAUAUUUCUUUUGGAGAAAUAAUUUGGAUAUUAGGGUAACUCUUCAUUUUAUAGUUUAUGACUAUUUCAUUUCAUAAACUACUUUAUGCUGAUUUUGAACCUAAAAAUUUGAUAUUAUGACUAUUUCAUUUCAUUUGAUAGAAGUCCUUUCUCUGUUUUUAUGCUAGGCAAUGGAGAGUGCAGGCCAAAAGUUUGUGGGGAUCAUGAUUUCAGAAAUUUUUGUAAGAUGGAUGCAUUUAAUGUCCACGACUACAAGCGUCAUAUAACAUCCUUUGAACUCUCUUCUUGUGAUAAGAGGUUGGAAAGUAAUGAACUGUGGUGUUUCAAAAUUAAGGGCAGUGCAUUUUUGUGGCACCAAGUUCAUUGCAUGGUUGCUGUGAUGUUUAUGGUUGGCCAAGGUCUUGAAUCUCCUGAUGUACAUAAUAUAAGAUACUUCGCCAUUCUCUGUCUUGGUUACCAUAAGUUGAACGUAGGAAAUGGGUGAGAGAUAGUUUGUUUUAUAUCUAUUAGUUAAUGCAACAAAAUGCACGGGGCUACC
RNA transcript from Eucalyptus grandis, 754 nucleotides. RefSeq lists it as uncharacterized. NCBI's taxonomy places the organism in Eukaryota, Viridiplantae, Streptophyta, Magnoliopsida, Myrtales, Myrtaceae. The record is from RefSeq and is a predicted model, not a curated record. The transcript has 4 exons.